This 711-nucleotide ribosomal RNA is filed under the name anaerobic methanogenic archaeon E30-10. RNAcentral describes it as "bacterial SSU rRNA". It matches the Rfam family "Archaeal small subunit ribosomal RNA", at positions 126 to 836 of the family's 1478-position model. The record is from RNAcentral.
AUAACCCCGGGAAACUGGGGAAAAUUCCGGAUAACGCACAUAUGCUGGAAUGCUUUAUGCGUAAAAUGGAUUCGUCUGCCCAAGGAUGGGUCUGCGGCCUAUCAGGUAGUAGUGGGUGUAAUGUACCUACUAGCCAACAACGGGUACGGGUUGUGAGAGCAAGAGCCCGGAGAUGGAUUCUGAGACAUGAAUCCAGGCCCUACGGGGCGCAGCAGGCGCGAAAACUUUACAAUGCGGGAAACCGUGAUAAGGGGGCACCGAGUGCCAGCGUCAUACGCUGGCUGUCCAGGUGUGUAAAAUACACCUGUUAGCAAGGGCCGGGCAAGACCGGUGCCAGCCGCCGCGGUAACACCGGCGGCCCGAGUGGUGAUCGUGAUUAUUGGGUCUAAAGGGUCCGUAGCCGGUUUGGUCAGUCCUCCGGGAAAUCUGAUAGCUCAACUAUUAGGCUUUCGGGGGAUACUGCCAGGCUUGGAACCGGGAGAGGUAAGAGGUACUACAGGGGUAGGAGUGAAAUCUUGUAAUCCCUGUGGGACCACCUGUGGCGAAGGCGUCUUACCAGAACGGGUUCGACGGUGAGGGACGAAAGCUGGGGGCACGAACCGGAUUAGAUACCCGGGUAGUCCCAGCCGUAAACGAUGCUCGCUAGGUGUCAGGCAUGGCGCGACCGUGUCUGGUGCCGCAGGAAGCCGUGAAGCGAGCCACCUGGUAGGC